GCGGGUGUAGCUCAAUGGCAGAGCUCCAGCUUCCCAAGCUGAUAACGUGGGUUCGAUUCCCAUCACCCGCUCCA
This 74-nucleotide transfer RNA is filed under the name Clostridiales bacterium. RNAcentral describes it as "tRNA-Gly". It matches the Rfam family "tRNA". Rfam says of the family: Transfer RNA (tRNA) molecules are approximately 80 nucleotides in length. Their secondary structure includes four short double-helical elements and three loops (D, anti-codon, and T loops). Further hydrogen bonds mediate the characteristic L-shaped molecular structure. tRNAs have two regions of fundamental functional importance: the anti-codon, which is responsible for specific mRNA codon recognition, and the 3' end, to which the tRNAs corresponding amino acid is attached (by aminoacyl-tRNA synthetases). tRNAs cope with the degeneracy of the genetic code in two manners: having more than one tRNA (with a specific anti-codon) for a particular amino acid; and 'wobble' base-pairing, i.e. permitting non-standard base-pairing at the 3rd anti-codon position. RNAcentral also lists the same sequence under 1 other name. The record is from RNAcentral. Lineage: Bacteria; Bacillati; Bacillota; Clostridia; Eubacteriales.